RNAcentral lists this ribosomal RNA (404 nucleotides) under uncultured bacterium. RNAcentral describes it as "bacterial SSU rRNA". It matches the Rfam family "Bacterial small subunit ribosomal RNA", at positions 355 to 775 of the family's 1533-position model. The record is from RNAcentral.
UAGGGAAUAUUGCACAAUGGACGAAAGUCUGAUGCAGCAACGCCGCGUGUGCGAUGAAGGCCUUCGGGUCGUAAAGCACUUUUCUGGAGGACGAGGAAGGACGGUACUUCAGGAAUAAGGAUCGGCUAACUACGUGCCAGCAGCCGCGGUAAAACGUAGGAUCCGAGCGUUAUCCGAAUUCACUGGGCGUAGAGCGCGUGCAGGCGGCAUAGCAAGUUGGAUGUGAAAACUCCCGGCCCAACUGGGAGAGGACGUUCAAAACUGCUAGGCUAGAGGAUGGUAGAGGAAGGUAGAAUUCCCGGUGUAGUGGUGAAAUGCGUAGAUAUCGGGAGGAAUACCAGUGGCGAAGGCGGCCUUCUGGGCCAUACCUGACGCUCAGACGCGAAAGCUAGGGGAGCAAACGG